UACGUAUGGUGCAAGCGUUAUCCGGAUUUACUGGGUGUAAAGGGAGCGCAGGCGGCACGGCAAGCCUGAUGUGAAAGCCCGCGGCCCAACCGCGGGACUGCAUUGGGAACUACCGGGCUGGAGUGCCGGAGAGGUAGGCGGAAUUCCUAGUGAAGCGGUGAAAUGCGUAGAUAUUAGGAGGAACACCAGUGGCGAAGGCGGCCUACUGGACGGUGACUGACGCUGAGGCUCGAAAGCGUGGGGAGCAAACAGG
RNAcentral lists this ribosomal RNA (253 nucleotides) under uncultured bacterium. RNAcentral describes it as "partial 16S ribosomal RNA". It matches the Rfam family "Bacterial small subunit ribosomal RNA", at positions 524 to 776 of the family's 1533-position model. The record is from RNAcentral.